RNAcentral lists this long non-coding RNA (379 nucleotides) under Phoenix dactylifera (date palm). RNAcentral describes it as "long non-coding RNA (PDAC_LNC010091)". The record is from RNAcentral. Lineage: Eukaryota; Viridiplantae; Streptophyta; Magnoliopsida; Arecales; Arecaceae.
UAAUCUAAUUAGACUCAAACCAAGCCAAUUAGGUGCCAACUCUUGGAUAACCCAUAUUAGAAUAUGAUCUAAUCAAAUUAGAUCAAUUAAGAAUCAGAUUCGAAUCCAAUUCGAAUUAGGAGCUAAGGUUUGCAACACCUGCUAGGAUGUUUAUCUUGCAAAUAUGAUCUAAUCCAAUUAGACCCUUGAUAAGUUUUCUUGUGUGUGACCCAUUGGGUUCCAUACUUAGCCACCAAUAGGUGUGAGUGCGAGUUGACCCAACUUGAUUAGAACUCUUCUAAUCGAUUUAAGUUCAAACAGCGUGAACCCGAACUUAACAAUUAGAAUCCUUUCUAAUUGGUGAUCGAAUUAAACUCUUUAAUUCGAUCAAACCUAUAAG